GCGUCCAUCGUCUAAUGGAUAGGACAAAGGUCUUCUAAACCUUUGGUAUAGGUUCGAGUCCUAUUGGACGUA
Molecule: transfer RNA, 72 nt
Filed under: Psilotum nudum
Lineage: Eukaryota; Viridiplantae; Streptophyta; Polypodiopsida; Psilotales; Psilotaceae
Description: tRNA-Arg(UCU)
Rfam family: tRNA
About the family: Transfer RNA (tRNA) molecules are approximately 80 nucleotides in length. Their secondary structure includes four short double-helical elements and three loops (D, anti-codon, and T loops).
Source: RNAcentral